UCCGGGGCCGCACGCGUGCUACAAUGACGAUGCUAGUGAGCAUGAUUAACUUGCCCGAAAGGGUAGGUAAAACUGUUUAAUCAUCGUCGUGCCUGGGAUUGGGGUUUGCAAUUAUCCCCCAUGAACCAGGAAUUCCUAGUAAGCACAAGUCAUAAGCUUGUGCUGAUUACGUCCCUGCCCUUUGUACACACCGCCCGUCGCUACUACCGAUUGAAUGGCUUAGCAAGGUCAUUGGAUUGAGUUCUUGCAGUUCACCCUGCUUGGAUUCGAGAAGAUGCCCGAACUUGGUCAUUUAGAGGAAGUAAAAGUCGUAACAAGGUUUCCGUAGGUGAACCUGCGGAAGGAUCAUUAUCAAAUUCCUAUUGCCAUAAAAAUCCACCAUCGUGGUAAGCGCUUUCUGCAGUUUUCACUGCUCGGCGCAUUGUGAUACAGAAGUGGUUGGGGUGGCCUAGGCGGUAACCAUGUAUCGUUUAGUGCUGACUCCUUCUCACCCGCAGCCUCCCCAGUCCGGUGGCUUGUGGGCAUGCACAGUUCGUGGCGGCGUUGUGCAUGUCUGCUUGCCGCUUUCAUUCAUUCUUUGGACUUGGCCUUGGUUGUCGUUGCCACAAAACCCCUCUCCCCUCGUUGGAA
RNAcentral lists this ribosomal RNA (630 nucleotides) under Cichlidogyrus mbirizei. Its description in RNAcentral is "bacterial SSU rRNA". The stretch from base 1 to 351 matches the Rfam family "Eukaryotic small subunit ribosomal RNA", at positions 1480 to 1831 of the family's 1831-position model. The record is from RNAcentral. Lineage: Eukaryota; Metazoa; Platyhelminthes; Monogenea; Dactylogyridea; Ancyrocephalidae.